UCGGUUAUCAUGGUACCGGUGCUGUAUAUGUGAAAGGUACAGUACUGUGAUAACUGAAG
Molecule: microRNA precursor, 59 nt
Filed under: Gekko japonicus
Lineage: Eukaryota; Metazoa; Chordata; Lepidosauria; Squamata; Gekkonidae
Description: Gja-Mir-101-P2-v1_pre stem-loop
Rfam family: mir-101 microRNA precursor family
About the family: The hairpin precursors (represented here) are predicted based on base pairing and cross-species conservation -- their extents are not known. In this case the mature sequence is excised from the 3' arm of the hairpin.
Source: RNAcentral